Molecule: ribosomal RNA, 1343 nt
Filed under: uncultured bacterium
Lineage: Bacteria
Description: 16S ribosomal RNA
Rfam family: Bacterial small subunit ribosomal RNA
Source: RNAcentral
GACGAACGCUGGCGGCGUGCUUAACACAUGCAAGUCGAACGGAAAGGCCCUGCUUUUGUGGGGUGCUCGAGUGGCGAACGGGUGAGUAACACGUGAGUAACCUGCCCUUGACUUUGGGAUAACUUCAGGAAACUGGGGCUAAUACCGGAUAGGAGCUCCUGCUGCAUGGUGGGGGUUGGAAAGUUUCGGCGGUUGGGGAUGGACUCGCGGCUUAUCAGCUUGUUGGUGGGGUAGUGGCUUACCAAGGCUUUGACGGGUAGCCGGCCUGAGAGGGUGACCGGCCACAUUGGGACUGAGAUACGGCCCAGACUCCUACGGGAGGCAGCAGUGGGGAAUAUUGCACAAUGGGCGGAAGCCUGAUGCAGCAACGCCGCGUGCGGGAUGACGGCCUUCGGGUUGUAAACCGCUUUCGCCUGUGACGAAUCGUGAGUGACGGUAAUGGGUAAAGAAGCACCGGCUAACUACGUGCCAGCAGCCGCGGUGAUACGUAGGGUGCGAGCGUUGUCCGGAUUUAUUGGGCGUAAAGGGCUCGUAGGUGGUUGAUCGCGUCGGAAGUGUAAUCUUGGGGCUUAACCCUGAGCGUGCUUUCGAUACGGGUUGACUUGAGGAAGGUAGGGGAGAAUGGAAUUCCUGGUGGAGCGGUGGAAUGCGCAGAUAUCAGGAGGAACACCAGUGGCGAAGGCGGUUCUCUGGGCCUUUCCUGACGCUGAGGAGCGAAAGCGUGGGGAGCGAACAGGCUUAGAUACCCUGGUAGUCCACGCUGUAAACGGUGGGUACUAGGUGUGGGGUCCAUUCCACGGGUUCCGUGCCGUAGCUAACGCUUUAAGUACCCCGCCUGGGGAGUACGGCCGCAAGGCUAAAACUCAAAGGAAUUGACGGGGCCCCGCACAAGCGGCGGAGCAUGCGGAUUAAUUCGAUGCAACGCGUAGAACCUUACCUGGGUUUGACAUGGAUCGGGAGCGCUCAGAGAUGGGUGUGCCUCUUUUGGGGUCGGUUCACAGGUGGUGCAUGGCUGUCGUCAGCUCGUGUCGUGAGAUGUUGGGUUAAGUCCCGCAACGAGCGCAACCCUUGUUCACUGUUGCCAGCACGUUAUGGUGGGGACUCAGUGGAGACCGCCGGGGUCAACUCGGAGGAAGGUGGGGAUGACGUCAAGUCAUCAUGCCCCUUAUGUCCAGGGCUUCACGCAUGCUACAAUGGCUGGUACAGAGAGUGGCGAGCCUGUGAGGGUGAGCGAAUCUCGGAAAGCCGGUCUCAGUUCGGAUUGGGGUCUGCAACUCGACCUCAUGAAGUCGGAGUCGCUAGUAAUCGCAGAUCAGCAACGCUGCGGUGAAUACGUUCCCGGG